UCCGUUAUGGUGUAGUGGCUAACAUUAUCGCCUCUCAUCGCCACGAACCGCGAGUAAGACGCGAUAGCCCAGGGUUCGAUUCCCUGUAACGGAA
This is a non-coding RNA of Marasmius sp. AFHP31, 94 nucleotides long. Lineage: Eukaryota; Fungi; Basidiomycota; Agaricomycetes; Agaricales; Marasmiaceae. The record is from the annotation of a GenBank genome assembly.